UAGGGAAUCUUCCACAAUGGACGCAAGUCUGAUGGAGCAACGCCGCGUGAGUGAAGAAGGUUUUCGGACCGUAAAGCUCUGUUGUUGGUGAAGAAGGAUAGAGGUAGUAACUGGCCUUUAUUUGACGGUAAUCAACCAGAAAGUCACGGCUAACUACGUGCCAGCAGCCGCGGUAAUACGUAGGUGGCAAGCGUUGUCCGGAUUUAUUGGGCGUAAAGCGAGCGCAGGCGGAAGAAUAAGUCUGAUGUGAAAGCCCUCGGCUUAACCGAGGAAUUGCAUCGGAAACUGUUUUUCCUUGAGUGCAGAAGAGGAGAGUAGAACUCCAUGUGUAGCGGUGGAAUGCGUAGAUAUAUGGAAGAAUACCAGUGGCGAAGGCGGCUCUCUGGUCUGCAACUGACGCUGAGGCUCGAAAGCAUGGGUAGCGAACAGGAUUAGAUACCCUGGUAGUCCAUGCCGUAAACGAUGAGUGCU
RNAcentral lists this ribosomal RNA (471 nucleotides) under uncultured bacterium. RNAcentral describes it as "partial 16S ribosomal RNA". It matches the Rfam family "Bacterial small subunit ribosomal RNA", at positions 355 to 817 of the family's 1533-position model. The record is from RNAcentral.